This 404-nucleotide ribosomal RNA is filed under the name Verrucomicrobiota bacterium. RNAcentral describes it as "Verrucomicrobia bacterium partial 16S ribosomal RNA". It matches the Rfam family "Bacterial small subunit ribosomal RNA", at positions 355 to 776 of the family's 1533-position model. Lineage: Bacteria; Pseudomonadati; Verrucomicrobiota. The record is from RNAcentral.
UGGGGAAUAUUGCACAAUGGGGGAAACCCUGAUGCAGCGACGCCGCGUGAGCGAUGAAGGCUUUCGAGUCGUAAAGCUCUGUCCUAUGGGAAGAUAAUGACGGUACCAUAGAAGAAAGCCCCGGCUAAUUACGUGCCAGCAGCCGCGGUAAUACGUAAGGGGCGAGCGUUGUCCGGAAUUAUUGGGCGUAAAGAGUGCGUAGGCGGCAAAUUAAGUCAGAUGUGAAAACUAAGGGCUCAACCCAUAGAUUGCAUCUGAAACUGAUAUGCUUGAGUCAAGGAGAGGAAAGUGGAAUUCCUAGUGUAGCGGUGGAAUGCGUAGAUAUUAGGAGGAAUACCGGUGGCGAAGGCGACUUUCUGGCCAUAUACUGACGCUGGGGUACGAAAGCGUGGGUAGCAAACAGG